CCUCCAGAGGGCUGUCGGCGCAGUAGCCGCGAGCAGCAGUGUCCGCGCACUCCGGCGAGGGGCAGAAGAGAGCGAGGGAGCGCGGGGCAGCAGGAGCGAGAGCCGAGCGCGGACGCAGCCGGAACCCACAGCCCUCCCCAGCGGUCCAGGCAGAGCCCCAGCCAUGGAACACCAGCUCCUGUGCUGCGAAGUGGAGGCCAUCCGCCGCGCCUACCCCGAUGCCAACCUCCUCAACCACCGGGUGCUGCGGGCCAUGCUGAAGGAGGAGGAGACCUGCGCACCCUCCGUGUCCUACUUCAAAUGUGUGCAGAAGGAGGUCCUGCCGUCCAGGCGGAAGAUCGUGGCCACCUGGAUGCUGGAGGUCUGCGAGGAGCAGAGUGCGAGGAGGAGGUCUUCCCGCUGGCCAUGAACUACCAGGACCGCUUCCUGUCGCUGGAGCCAGUGAAAAAGAGCCGCCUGCAGCUGCUGGGGGCCACCUGCAUGUUCCUCGCCUCUAAGAUGAAGGAGACCAUCCCCCUGACGGCCGAGAAGCUGUGCAUCUACACCGACAACUCCAUCCAACCCGAGGAGCUGCUGCAAAUGGAGCCGCUCCUGGUGAACAUGCUCAAGUGGAACCUGGCCGCCAUGACCCCGCACGAUUUCAUCGAACACUUCCUCUCCAAAAUGCCAGAGGCGGAGGAGAACAAACAGAUCAUCGGCAAACACGCGCAGACCUUCGUUGCCCUCUGCGCCACAGAUGUGAAGUUCAUUUCCUAUCCGCCCUCCAUGGUGGCGGCGGGAACCGUGGUGGCCGCAGUGCAAGGCCUGAACCUGGGGAGCCCCAACCACUUCCUGUCCUACUACCGCCUCACCUGCUUCCUCUCCAGAGUGAUCAAGUGUGACCCGGACUGCCUCAGGGCCUGCCAGGAGCAGAUCGAAGGCCUGCUGGAGUCGAGCCUGCGCCAGGCCCAGCAGAACCAGGACCCCAAGGCCUCUGAGGAGGAGGAAGAGGAGGAGGGGGAAGUGGACCUGGCCUGCACACCCACCGACGUGCAGGACGUGGACAUCUGAGGGCGCCGGCCCCAGGUGCUCCCGGACAACCCCUCCUCUCCGGGGCACUUUGAUACCAGAAGGGAAAGCUUCAUUCUCCUUGUUGGUUUUUUCCCUUUGCUCUUUCUCCCUUCCAUCUCUGACUUAAGCAGAAGAAAAAGAUUACCCAAAAACUGUCUUUAAAAGAGAGAGAGAAAAAAUAGUAUUUUGUAAGCCUGAGCAGCUGGGGACAGGAGAGUCGUGCUACAAAAAUAGAGGACUUUAUGCCCCAAUAAUCAACUAGUUUUUAUAUUAAUGUACUUGUUUUUCUGUUGUAAGGGUAGGUAUUAACACAAAGGAGAGGUCUCGGGAGAGGAUUAGGUUCGAUUCUUUGCGUGUUAAAAAAAAAAAAGCAUAAAAAACAUUUAAAAAAAAUAGAAAAAUUCAGCAAACCAUUUGUAAAGUAGAAGAAGGUUUUAGGUAGAAAAAGGUAUUCUUGUGCUUUUCCUGAAGAGCACAGCUGUAGUGCGGUUGUAGGCCUCUCUGUACCUUGCUUGCUCAUCUGCAUGUACUCACUUUACAAGUCAUUGUUUGUUAUUAUAUUCCGUAGGUAGAUGUAUAACCGCUUCACCUUAUCCAUGGCUGAAGUCACCUCUUGGUCACAGUAGCAUAGCGUGCCCGUAUGUUUGUGUCCUUUGUACCUGUGGCCACCACAGUGGAGGUUUGUCAGGCACCAGCCAGCAUGGCGGGUUCGGGAAAGGCCACCUGUCCCACUCCUACAAUACGCUACUGGAAAGAGAAGACGAAAUAGUGACAUAAUAUAUUCUAUUUUUAUACUCUUCCUGUUUUUGUAGGGACCUGUUUAGGAGGUGCUGGUUUUCUACCCAGCGGCCCUGCAGCCAGCUGACGUCCAGGUUCGAUCCACAGCUACUUGGUGGUUUUCUUUCUUCUCUGCAUUCUAAAACCAUUCCAUUUCCAAGCACUUUCAGUCCAAUAGUUGUAGGAAAGAGCGCUGUAUUUGUGUGUGGGGAGGGAGAGCAGGUUUCUAAUGGAAUGGUUUGGGAAUAUCUGUGUACUUGUGUGUGAGUAGGACUGCGAGGCAGGUGCAGGCCACCGUGGUGGCAGCGGAGGUGAGUGUUUGGGAGGCUGCGUGCCCGUCAGGAAGAAAAAGGUUUGCAUUCUCACAUCGCCAGGAUGAUAAGUUCCUUUCCUUUUUUUUUUUUUUCUCUCUCUGUCUCUUAAAGACGUUGAAGUUUAGGAAUCCUUUGGUGCCAACUGGGGUUUGAAAGUAGGGACCUAGGUUACCUAGAGAGCAGGUGGCUUAAGCGUUAUCUGAGAUGUUUCACACCAGAAGGCUUUUAAACACUAAAAUAUAUAAUUUAUAGUUAAGGCUAAAAAAGUAUAUUUAUUGCAGAGGAUGUUCAUAAGGCCAGUAUGAUUUAUAAAGCAAUGCAAUCUCCCCUUGAUUUACACACACACACACACACACACACACACAAACACACACACACACCCCUUCUGCCUUUGAUAUUGCAGGUAUAGUACAGUGUGUUUUAAAGCUAGUCCUUUUAUAGGUGAGAAAAACAGUCUGGAGGAAGACCACACACGGACAUUAACUCAGCCUGUUUGGGGUUUUCCACAGUCAUCUGAUUGAAAAUGUGUCACAAGGAAAAUUCGGGUACUUAACAUAAGUUCAGUUCCUAGAUCUUCUUAUCCCUUGCCCCUUCCUUUAGAAAAUACUUGGCGACAAAAUAGACAAUUUGCACAUCUUGGCUAUGGAAUUCUUGUACUUUUUAUUAAAAAAUAGGAAGUUUUUUUUGUUUUUGAGACGGAGUUUCGCUCUUGUUACCCAGGCUGGAGUGCAAUGGCGCGAUCUCGGCUCACCGCAACCUCCGCCUCCUGGGUUCAGGCAAUUCUCCUGCCUCAGCCUCCCGAGUAGCUGGGAUUGCAGGCAGCGCCACCAUGCCCAGCUAGUUUUUUUUAUUUUUAGUAGAGAUGGGGUUUCACCAUGUUGACCAGGAUGGUCUCGAUCUCUUAACCUUGUGAUCCACCUGCCUCGGCCUCCCAAAGUGCUGGGAUUACAGGCUUGAACCACCGCAACUGGCCUAUUUAGGAAGGGUGGUGGCCAGAGGGUGGAGGCUGAUGUGUGAAGGAAGAUGGGUGGGAGGAGUGGGGAGGAGGCUCCUGACCAGCCGGUCGGUGCCCACGCCAGGGACAGGCUGCAGCUCCGUUUUCUUUCUGCGCUGCUACCUUUGACUUCCAGGCACAGUUUGGAAACAUUCACAUCGCUUCUCUGUAUCUCUUUCACAUGGUUGGCUGCUACUGGAGGAUCUGUUUUUUGUUUUACAAUGUCAUAUACUGCCAUGUACUAGUUUUAAUUUUCUCUUAGAACACUGUAUUACGGAUGCCUUUUCUGUAUUUUUAUUUAUGUGUUCAAUUUUGACUUAAUGUGAUUACUGCUCUAUUCCAAAAAGGUUCCUCAUGCUUCACUUAGCCAUGGUGGACCCAGCUGGUAGGUUCUGUCUGCUUCCGCACGCAGACACGUGGGCGCAAUCCUGCACCGGUGUCCCCAGAGACCGGGCUGUGUUCAUCUUCUCUUCCCUGCGCCUGUGAUACUGGGCUCUUCAUCGGAUUGUAGCGUCCUCGUAGUUUUUACAGCUGUGUCAUUCUUUGCGUGUAGCUAUGGAAGUUGCAUAAGUAUUAUUAUUAUUGUAACAAGUGUGUCUUACGUGCCGCCAUGGUGCUGCGCCCGUAGGACUCUGCUUCGGGAUGAUUGGAAUAUCUUCUGGAAUUUGUUCAAGUUUUGGGUGUGUUUAACCUGUUAUGUACUAGUGUUCUGUUUGUUAUUGUUUUGUUAAUUACAGCACAGUGCUGAUUUAAAAA
This is a non-coding RNA of Callithrix jacchus (white-tufted-ear marmoset), 3891 nucleotides long. The record is from RefSeq and is a predicted model, not a curated record. NCBI's taxonomy places the organism in Eukaryota, Metazoa, Chordata, Mammalia, Primates, Cebidae.